This 253-nucleotide ribosomal RNA is filed under the name uncultured bacterium. Its description in RNAcentral is "partial 16S ribosomal RNA". It matches the Rfam family "Bacterial small subunit ribosomal RNA", at positions 524 to 776 of the family's 1533-position model. The record is from RNAcentral.
UACGUAGGGUGCAAGCGUUGUCCGGAAUUAUUGGGCGUAAAGAGCUCGUAGGCGGUCUGUCGCGUCUGCUGUGAAAAUCCAGGGCUCAACCCUGGACCUGCAGUGGGUACGGGCAGACUAGAGUGCGGUAGGGGAGAUCGGAAUUCCUGGUGUAGCGGUGAAAUGCGCAGAUAUCAGGAGGAACACCGGUGGCGAAGGCGGGUCUCUGGGCCGAUACUGACGCUGAGGAGCGAAAGCGUGGGGAGCAAACAGG